CAGUGAUGAGCUGCCAAAAUCUUAACAACCGGUUCCCUAUCAAAAGUUUUGAUUUAAUGGAUGUGCCCCAGUAUUUAUUUUUUUGUACCAACAGGGUUACCAUAUGUCCGUAUUUUCCUGGGAGGAGA
Molecule: long non-coding RNA, 128 nt
Organism: Chelonia mydas (Green sea turtle)
Lineage: Eukaryota; Metazoa; Chordata; Testudines; Cheloniidae
Exons: 3
Source: RefSeq, a predicted model, not a curated record